Molecule: ribosomal RNA, 729 nt
Filed under: uncultured eukaryote
Lineage: Eukaryota
Description: SSU rRNA
Rfam family: Eukaryotic small subunit ribosomal RNA
Source: RNAcentral
GGCCAUGUUGGUUAACAAAUCCUCAUCUGCUGGACGUCUGGCGAUGAUCUUUAUCGGUUGUCGUCAGUUGCCCAGCACGUUUACUUUGAGAAAAUUAGAGUGCUAAAAGCAGGCUCACGCCUAUAUAUAUUGCAUGGAAUAAUGAAAUAAAAUCUCUAUUUUAUUUCUUUGGUUUUAGAAAUUGAGAUAAUGAUUAAUAGGAUCAGAGGGGGGCGUACGUACUGUGGUGUGAGAGGUGAAAUUCUUGGAUCUCCACACGACAAAAAGCACCGAAAGCGUUCUCCAAGAAUGUUUUCAUUUAUCAAGAACGAAAGUUUGAGGUUAGAAAACAAUAAGACACCGUCCUAGUUCACACCAUAAACGUUGCCAACUGUCUUUUAGAUGCGGUUAUAUAUAUGACUCACCUGGCGGAUCUCGAGAAAUCUAAGUUUUUAGGUUCCGGGGGAAGUAUGGUUGCAAAGCUGAAACUUAAAAGAAUUGACGGAAGGACACACAAGAAGUGGAGCCUGUGGCCUAAUUUGACUCCACACGGGACACCUUACUCGCCCAGGACACUUUUAGGAUUGACAGAUUGAGAGCUCUUUCUUGAUUAGGUGGGUGGUGGUGCAUGGUCGUUCGUAGUUCGUGGAGCGAUUUGUCUGAUUAAUUUCGAUAACGAACGAGACUCCGGCUUACUAAAUAGUCUAAAGUUCGAAGGGACUUUUCAAGACUUCUUAGCAGGAUAAGUGG